This is a non-coding RNA of Camponotus floridanus (Florida carpenter ant), 45 nucleotides long. NCBI's taxonomy places the organism in Eukaryota, Metazoa, Arthropoda, Insecta, Hymenoptera, Formicidae. The record is from Rfam.
CAAUCCGCUCUUUUCAGAGCGACCCAUAUUUUUGAACAUUUGGAA